GACGAACGCUGGCGGCGUGCCUAAUACAUGCAAGUAGAACGCUGAAGGAGGAGCUUGCUCUUCUGGAUGAGUUGCGAACGGGUGAGUAACGCGUAGGUAACCUGCCUGGUAGCGGGGGAUAACUAUUGGAAACGAUAGCUAAUACCGCAUAAUAGUAGAUGUUGCAUGACAUUUACUUCAAAGGUGCAAUUGCCUCACUACCAGAUGGACCUGCGUUGUAUUAGCUAGUUGGUGGGGUAACGGCUUACCAAGGCGACGAUACAUAGCCGACCUGAGAGGGUGAUAGGACAAACUGGGAAUGAGACACGGCCCAGAAUCCUACGGGAGGCAGCAGUAGGGAAUCUUCGGAAAUGGACGGAAGGCUGAACGAGCAACGCCGCGUGAGUGAAGAAGGUUUUCGGAUCGGAAAGCUCUGUUGUAAGAGAAGAAAGAGUGUGAGAGUGGAAAGUUCACACUGUGACGGUAUCUUACCAGAAAGGGACGGCUAACUACGUG
Molecule: ribosomal RNA, 495 nt
Filed under: uncultured bacterium
Lineage: Bacteria
Description: partial 16S ribosomal RNA
Rfam family: Bacterial small subunit ribosomal RNA
Source: RNAcentral